Molecule: long non-coding RNA, 5112 nt
Filed under: Homo sapiens (human)
Lineage: Eukaryota; Metazoa; Chordata; Mammalia; Primates; Hominidae
Description: HSALNT0005934
Source: RNAcentral
GGGCAAGUACCAGCACCUCAGCCUAGUCGGUGCAGGUGAUAGUUAUGAAGCUAAGUCCUAGGCCAGGAACAAGGCAGCCAGUCCAGCCAGCAUAGUUGACCCCUCUAUGGACUGGGGCCAGUGCAGCCACAGCAUUCCAGUGCUCAGCCCCUCAGCUGGGAGAUCAGCGACUGCUGCCACGUGCCCAGAAAUGGCUCGUCCUUUCACUACAGCGGAAUGCAAUGAGGGUGGGUGAGAAGAUGAUGGGUCGGUUAUUUCAUUCCUUUUCUUUUUACAACUUCACUUUCAGAGACUUCAGCGUUCCAUGUCUGCUGUGCUGUGGAACCCAGAGUGCUCUUGCCUGGAUGGCUGAGAAUCCCUUGGACCCUGGAAGCACCUACUCCAUGAUGGCCCGGUAUAGUGCAGGCUCAAUAUAAUCUUCCCGGUAUCUUGAGUUGAUAACUCGUUGCCGUUUCUUUUCUUGCUUAACCUCUUUCUCUGUGAAAAUCUCAUUGAAGCGCAUGUCUGAGGCUACUGACUAUAGAAGAAUAAGCAAGCCAAGUGUCAGCUACCCCAGGAACAAUACAAAGGGAUGCAUCCUUGACUUGUUCCCUCCCUCCAAGACAGGAACUGGGGGGACACAGAAAAUACUCACCAGUCUAGAUUUGACUCUCUUGGGAAGCUCUUCAUCCAGUGUGUAUACAUCAUCUCUCUUAACCACAAGUUGUGAGCCAUCCUCAAACUCCACCUACCAAGGAAACAAAGGCCUUUUGGCUAGGAUAUCCCUGACUCUUUCCCUGGUCCACCAUGCACAGUGGCAGUCCCCUACAGUCAAAGGAAGGAGUUAGAACACUAAAAUAACAACUACCUUACUUCACAUUUGGCAGACUGGAAACAGGGCAGACCCCUAGCUCUGAAAGGGUUACCAACCUAUUAGUUCUCCUAAGAGCAAAGACUCGCCUCUGGCCCAACAGGAAGCACAGAAUUAAUCAAGCACCCCCCACUCCCUAGAAAGGUAGAACUUUGGAUACCUGGUACAUUUGGAUAGGGUGGGAGGCCACAAACUUGGCUCCAUAGACUUGGCCGUCUGUCCAUCUCACUUGGACCACUUCCCCUUCAGCAGGAGGACCAAACUGGAGACAGUCCUGGCUCUGAGGAAACAGGAAGGAAGGAGGGUGAAAGGAACGUCCACCUGCACACAAAGGAAAGAUGAAAAAGAGUCACCUACCAUGGGACCUGGCAAAGUACUUCAGAACUUUUAUUCCUUCCAGAAGCAGGUAAGUACCCCAAGUCCUCAUCGUAUUCCCAGCAUAGGGCUUGGUAUACGGGGGGAUAUUUCAUUCAGCAUAUUGGCUGAAUGAAAGGUCUGAUAGGUAUACCUGGGAGAAGGUCCUUAGGGACAUGGCUUAAAAAAUGAGAGAGGGGCAGGGCAGUGAGUCUAAAAGGAUGUGGAUGCUCACAUCUGCUCUUACAAUCAUGCUACAGUUCAUUUAUUGAGUGGAAACAGUUCCCUACUUAUUGACAAUUCAUUUACUGAAUAGGUAAUCAGUAAAUACAUUUUGUAUCAAUCUAACAAUUAGGCAUAAACUACAGCCUCCUACACCCAAUAUCUGAGGUGUUCUAAGAUUUAACUACUCAAAUGUUUGAUAUUUGAUAAAUUGUUUAAGUUCUCUGCAAUUCAGUUCCACCUCCUAUAACAGCACUUCUGAAAAUGUGGUCUGUGAACCUCUGAGGGGUUCCUGAGACACUGUCAGGGAGCAAGUGAGACAUGGCUAUUUUUAUAAUAUUAAACUAUUAGCCUUUGUCACUGUGUUGUCAUUUACCUAGGAUAGGUACAACUGCUGGCACCUGAGCACAGAUCAAGGCACUGACCCUAAGCUCUACUAGUUGUUAUUGCAUUUUUCACCACUGUACACUCAUAAUUUAGGAGAAAAGAGCAAAAACUCUAGAUUGCAUGUAACAAUAUCCCUUGAUGAAGCAGUAAAAAAUUAUUAAUGUUGUUAAAUCUUAAUCAUUGAGUACAUGUGUUAAGUCCUCAUAAGACACUUUUGGUUGUCUCAAAGAAAUCUAUCUGUGUUGUUUGAGUUGUGAAUUACACUAGCUGCUUUGUUCAUGGAAUACCAGUUUUAUUUGAAAAAAAUUACUAGGCCAGGCAUGGUGGCUCAUGCCUGUAAUCCCUCACUUUGGGAGGCAGAGGUAGGAGGAUCGCAUCAGCCCAGGAGUUCAAGACCAGCCUGGGCAACACAGGGGAGACCCCAUCUCUACAAAACAUAAAAAAUUAUCCAGGUGUGAUGGCACACGCCUAUAGUCCCAGUUACUCGGAAGGCUGAGGACUGCUUGAGGCCGGGAGGAUGAGGCUGCAGUGAGCCAUGACCAUCCCAGCACUUUGGGAGGUUGAGGCAAAAGAAAUCGCUUGAGCCCAGGAGUUUGAGACUACCUGGGCAAGAUGGCAAGACCCCAUUUCUACAAAUAGCCAUGCAUGCCUGUAGUCCCAGCUACUCGGGAGGUGCUUGGUCAACAAAGCAAGACAUCAUCUCUUAAAACAAACAAACAAACAAAAAAAGUUGUUACUUCCAUUGAGUUUUGGUGGAUAUCAGAGAAUAAUAAACACAAUUACCUGAAAGACUAUUAAAAUACCUCCCUUGGCUGGGAGUGGUGGCUCACAGAUGUAAUCCCAGCACUUUGGGAGGCCGAGGUAGGCGGAUUGCUUGAGCCCAGUUUUGAGACCAGCCUGGGCAACAAGGCAAAACUCCAUCUCUACAAAAAAUUAAAAAAUUAGCUGGGCGCCAGUGACAAGGGCCUGUAGUCCCAGCUACUUGGGAGGCUGAGGCAGCAGAAUCACUUGAGCCUGGUAUGUGGAGGUUGCAGUGAGUUGAGAUCACUGCACUGCACUCCAACGUGGGUGACUGGAGUGAAACCCUAUUUUAAAAAAACAAAAACAAACUCCUUUUUCCAAUUACAUAUCUACGCAAGGCUGAAUUUUCUUCCUAUACUUGAACCUAAACAGUGUAUCACAAUAGAUUGAAUCAAGAAGUGACAUUAAGGCCAGCGCGGUGGCUCACGCCUGUAAUCCCACCACUUUGGGAGGCCGAGGCGGGCGGAUCACGAGAUCAGGAGAUCAAGACCAUCCUGGCUAACAUGGUGAAACCCCAUGUCUACUAAAAAUACAAAAAAUUAGCCGGGCAUGGUGGCGGGCGCCUGUAGUCCCAGCUACUCGGGAGGCUGAGGCAGGAGAAUGGCGUGAACCUGGGAGGUGAAGCCUGCAGUGAGCCAAGAUCAUGCCACCGUACUCCCGUACUCCAGCCUGGGCAACAGAGCAAGACUCCAUCUCAAAAAAAAAAAAAAAAGACAUUAAAGAGAUUUGCAAAAUUGCAGGGAAAUGGCAAUCUUUUGUUUUUGUUUUAGAAAAGUUAUUUUUAAUCUAAAAAAAUUGAUUAUUUUAAAUCAAUCUGCUUUAAUUUCUAAUAAGAAUAAAUACGUUUAGAUGUAACCCAGAGAAACACAGGCUCUUUGGGGUCUCUAACUUGUAGAAAAUGGAGUCCUGAAACCACUGUAAGUUAGAGAUAAUACCACAUCCUUCUCACAGUGGGUAUGAGAAGAUAAAGAGAUACUUGAAAUAACCACUUAGCAUAGUGCCUGGCAUACUGUACCAGCUUAAUAAAUUACAGCAAGGGCCAGGUAUGGUGGCUCAAACUCUUGUAAUCCCAGUGGUUUGGGGGCCCAAGAUGUGAGGAUCGCUUCAAGCUGCGAGAUCGAAACCAGCCUGAGCAACAAAGCAAGACCGUUGUUACUACAAAAAAUUUAAAAAUUAGCCAGGUGUGACUGCAUGUGCCUGUAGUCCCAGCUACCUGGGAAGCUGAAGCAGGAGGAUCACUUGAGUUCAGGAGUUUGAGAUUGCAGGAGCUAUGAUACAGCCACUGCACUCCAGCCUAAGUGACAGAGUGAGACCUGGUCUCUCUCAAAAAAAAAAAAAAAAAAAUAAGGCCAGGCACAGUGGCUCACGCCUGUAAUCCCACCACUUUGGGAGGCCAAGGUAGGCAGAUCACUUGAGCCCAGGAGUUUGAGACCAGCCUGGGCAACAUGGCAAAAGCCCGUCUCUACAAAAAAUUAAAAAAUUAGCCGGCUGUGGUGGUGCGUUCCUGUAGUCCCAGCUACCAGGGAGGCUGAGGUGGGAUGAUCACCUCAAUCCAGGAAGUUGAGGCUGCAGUGAGCUGAGAUUGUGCCACUGCACUCCAGCCUGGGCGUCAGAGUGAAACCCUGUCUCACAAAUAAAAUAUAAAUAAAUGAUAGCUAUGCUACUGCUAUGAGUACUACUAAUGUCGCCUUUUCUAUAAGUCUACCUUAUAACUAAUGAAUGUGCUUUUAGCAACUGAGUGGCUAAUGUGGUAUAAACAUGGGACAAUACCUGAUUUGUUAAAGGAAAAAAUGGUUUCAUUCCUCUCUACUUUGGUGGUCAGUCUACCAACUGAAAAGGCAAGGUGGGGGUAGGGGAAACCUGAACUAAGUCCUCACUACCAAGCCAGACCUAGGACUGGGUCCAUGUGGGGCCACUGUGUCUCAGGUGUUGAUAACAUAAACAGGCCAAGGGUGUCUCCAGGCAGUUUCUACUUAGCCCUAAAGCCCACUGUGAAGAGACAAAAGCAGAUUCUAUACAUCUACUAAGAGGGCCUGAUAGAAAAGAGAGUUGGAUAAUUCCCCUAAAAUCACACAGCUACUAGGCAAUGAAGCUGGUAUUGGCAUAUUUGAUUCCAAAGCCUGGGCUCUCCUAUUGCACUAGAAUGCCCUCAAGGAUAAUUUAGACGGCAACAGAUGCAGGUUUCAAGGAAUUGCAGAAAAUACUGAUUCCCAGGUACUUCUAGGGAAAAUAGGGUACCCUAGCAGCACGCAGUUUUCUUUGCAAAGAAAGACUGGUACAGAUGAUUCUUUCUGUUUGAGGACAUGGUGAUGGGACCAGGGACCUGGCUAGAAGAAGCAGGCAUACACACACAGUCUGCCAGCCAGACCUUAGAAACAUCCCCCCAUUCCAAACUGCCUGAGAAGCUCCUUGCAGAUAUUACCACUAUGUCCUCAGGAUAAAGAUUGUCGCUGAAGGAGCCAUCAUCAAAGUUGACUUCAUAGAAGGUCUCGGUGGUG